GGGCGGUUAGCUCAGUGGUUAGAGCGCUUGCUUCACACGCAAGAGGUCACUGGUUCAAGUCCAGUACCGCCCACCA
Molecule: transfer RNA, 76 nt
Filed under: Chloroflexota bacterium
Lineage: Bacteria; Bacillati; Chloroflexota
Also listed under: 5 other names
Description: Chloroflexi bacterium tRNA-Val
Rfam family: tRNA
About the family: Transfer RNA (tRNA) molecules are approximately 80 nucleotides in length.
Source: RNAcentral